This 402-nucleotide ribosomal RNA is filed under the name uncultured prokaryote. RNAcentral's name for it is "bacterial SSU rRNA". It matches the Rfam family "Bacterial small subunit ribosomal RNA", at positions 355 to 774 of the family's 1533-position model. The record is from RNAcentral.
UGGGGAAUAUUGGACAAUGGGCGAAAGCCUGAUCCAGCAAUGCCGCGUGAGUGAUGAAGGCCUUAGGGUUGUAAAGCUCUUUUACCCGGGAUGAUAAUGACAGUACCGGGAGAAUAAGCUCCGGCUAACUCCGUGCCAGCAGCCGCGGUAAUACGGAGGGAGCUAGCGUUGUUCGGAAUUACUGGGCGUAAAGCGCACGUAGGCGGCUUUGUAAGUUAGGGGUGAAAGCCUGGAGCUCAACUCCAGAAUUGCCUUUAAGACUGCAUGGCUCGAAUCCAGGAGAGGUGAGUGGAAUUCCGAGUGUAGAGGUGAAAUUCGUAGAUAUUCGGAAGAACACCAGUGGCGAAGGCGGCUCACUGGACUGGUAUUGACGCUGAGGUGCGAAAGCGUGGGGAGCAAACA